ACGAACGCUGGCGGCAUGCCUAAUACAUGCAAGUCGAACGAGAUCUUCGGAUCUAGUGGCGCACGGGUGCGUAACGCGUGGGAAUCUGCCCUUGGGUUCGGAAUAACUUCUGGAAACGGAAGCUAAUACCGGAUGAUGACGUAAGUCCAAAGAUUUAUCGCCCAAGGAUGAGCCCGCGUAGGAUUAGCUAGUUGGUGGGGUAAAGGCCCACCAAGGCGACGAUCCUUAGCUGGUCUGAGAGGAUGAUCAGCCACACUGGGACUGAGACACGGCCCAGACUCCUACGGGAGGCAGCAGUAGGGAAUAUUGGACAAUGGGGGAAACCCUGAUCCAGCUAUGCCGCGUGAGUGAUGAAGGCCUUAGGGUUGUAAAGCUCUUUUACCCGGGAUGAUAAUGACAGUACCGGGAGAAUAAGCUCCGGCUAACUCCGUG
RNAcentral lists this ribosomal RNA (432 nucleotides) under uncultured bacterium. Its description in RNAcentral is "partial 16S ribosomal RNA". It matches the Rfam family "Bacterial small subunit ribosomal RNA", at positions 29 to 507 of the family's 1533-position model. The record is from RNAcentral.